RNAcentral lists this ribosomal RNA (1374 nucleotides) under uncultured Gammaproteobacteria bacterium. Its description in RNAcentral is "uncultured gamma proteobacterium 16S ribosomal RNA". It matches the Rfam family "Bacterial small subunit ribosomal RNA", at positions 30 to 1393 of the family's 1533-position model. The record is from RNAcentral. Lineage: Bacteria; Pseudomonadati; Pseudomonadota; Gammaproteobacteria.
UGAACGCUGGCGGCAGGCCUAACACAUGCAAGUCGAACGGUAACAGGAAGAAGCUUGCUUCUUUGCUGACGAGUGGCGGACGGGUGAGUAAUGUCUGGGAAACUGCCUGAUGGAGGGGGAUAACUACUGGAAACGGUAGCUAAUACCGCAUAACGUCGCAAGACCAAAGAGGGGGACCUUAGGGCCUCUUGCCAUCGGAUGUGCCCAGAUGGGAUUAGCUAGUAGGUGGGGUAAAGGCUCACCUAGGCGACGAUCCCUAGCUGGUCUGAGAGGAUGACCAGCCACACUGGAACUGAGACACGGUCCAGACUCCUACGGGAGGCAGCAGUGGGGAAUAUUGCACAAUGGGCGCAAGCCUGAUGCAGCCAUGCCGCGUGUAUGAAGAAGGCCUUCGGGUUGUAAAGUACUUUCAGCGGGGAGGAAGGUGUUGUGGUUAAUAACCACAGCAAUUGACGUUACCCGCAGAAGAAGCACCGGCUAACUCCGUGCCAGCAGCCGCGGUAAUACGGAGGGUGCAAGCGUUAAUCGGAAUUACUGGGCGUAAAGCGCACGCAGGCGGUCUGUCAAGUCGGAUGUGAAAUCCCCGGGCUCAACCUGGGAACUGCAUUCGAAACUGGCAGGCUUGAGUCUCGUAGAGGGGGGUAGAAUUCCAGGUGUAGCGGUGAAAUGCGUAGAGAUCUGGAGGAAUACCGGUGGCGAAGGCGGCCCCCUGGACGAAGACUGACGCUCAGGUGCGAAAGCGUGGGGGAGCAAACAGGAUUAGAUACCCUGGUAGUCCACGCCGUAAACGAUGUCUAUUUGGAGGUUGUGCCCUUGAGGUGUGGCUUCCGGAGCUAACGCGUUAAAUAGACCGCCUGGGGAGUACGGCCGCAAGGUUAAAACUCAAAUGAAUUGACGGGGGCCCGCACAAGCGGUGGAGCAUGUGGUUUAAUUCGAUGCAACGCGAAGAACCUUACCUGGUCUUGACAUCCACAGAACUUUCCAGAGAUGGAGGGGUGCCUUCGGGAACUGUGAGACAGGUGCUGCAUGGCUGUCGUCAGCUCGUGUUGUGAAAUGUUGGGUUAAGUCCCGCAACGAGCGCAACCCUUAUCCUUUGUUGCCAGCGGUUAGGCCGGGAACUCAAAGGAGACUGCCAGUGAUAAACUGGAGGAAGGUGGGGAUGACGUCAAGUCAUCAUGGCCCUUACGACCAGGGCUACACACGUGCUACAAUGGCGCAUACAAAGAGAAGCGAACUCGCGAGAGCAAGCGGACCUCAUAAAGUGCGUCGUAGUCCGGACUGGAGUCUGCAACUCGACUCCAUGAAGUCGGAAUCGCUAGUAAUCGUGGAUCAGAAUGCCACGGUGAAUACGUUCCCGGGCCUUGUACACACCGC